This 491-nucleotide ribosomal RNA is filed under the name uncultured bacterium. RNAcentral describes it as "bacterial SSU rRNA". It matches the Rfam family "Bacterial small subunit ribosomal RNA", at positions 501 to 989 of the family's 1533-position model. The record is from RNAcentral.
SUACGUGCCAGCAGCCGCGGUAAUACGUAGGGCGCGAGCGUUGUCCGGAAUUAUUGGGCGUAAAGAGCUUGUAGGCGGUUGGUCGCGUCUGCUGUGAAAGGCCGGGGCUUAACUCCGGUUUUGCAGUGGGUACGGGCUAACUAGAGUGCAGUAGGGGAGACUGGAAUUCCUGGUGUAGCGGUGGAAUGCACAGAUAUCAGGAGGAACACCGAUGGCGAAGGCAGGUCUCUGGGCUGUAACUGACGCUGAGAAGCGAAAGCAUGGGGAGCGAACAGGAUUAGAUACCCUGGUAGUCCAUGCCGUAAACGUUGGGCACUAGGUGUGGGGGACAUUCCACGUUUUCCGCGCCGUAGCUAACGCAUUAAGUGCCCCGCCUGGGGAGUACGGCCGCAAGGCUAAAACUCAAAGGAAUUGACGGGGGCCCGCACAAGCGGCGGAGCAUGCGGAUUAAUUCGAUGCAACGCGAAGAACCUUACCAAGGCUUGACAUGC